AACGCACAUUGCGCCCCUCGGUAUUCCGGGGGGCAUGCCUGUUCGAGCGUCAUUACAACCAUCAAGCACAGCUUGGAAAAUGGGCGUCCCCCGCGCUCCCGCGCCGGGGUGCCCCAAAACCGUCGGCAGAGUCACGCGGACCCGCCGGGCGUAGCAGAAAAGGAAGGCGUCAGCCGACCCCUCACGUCCAAUGCGACCGCGCCUCGCGCCGUAAAACCAAUGGCCCGCAAGGGCCGAACACCAAGGUUGACCUCGGAUCAGGUAGGGAUACCCGCUGAACUUAA
Molecule: unclassified non-coding RNA, 284 nt
Filed under: uncultured fungus
Lineage: Eukaryota; Fungi
Description: partial contains 5.8S ribosomal RNA, internal transcribed spacer 2, and large subunit ribosomal RNA
Rfam family: 5.8S ribosomal RNA (bases 1-52)
Source: RNAcentral